This 430-nucleotide unclassified non-coding RNA is filed under the name soil metagenome. Its description in RNAcentral is "partial contains 5.8S ribosomal RNA, internal transcribed spacer 2, and large subunit ribosomal RNA". The stretch from base 1 to 120 matches the Rfam family "5.8S ribosomal RNA", at positions 35 to 154 of the family's 154-position model. The record is from RNAcentral.
GAUGAAGAACGCAGCGAAAUGCGAUACGUAAUGUGAAUUGCAGAAUUCAGUGAAUCAUCGAAUCUUUGAACGCAUAUUGCGCUCUCUGGUAUUCCGGAGAGCAUGCUUGUUUGAGUAUCAGUAAACACCUCAACUCCCUUUUCUUUUUUGAAAUUGGAGCUGGACUUGAGUGAUCCCAACGCUUUCUUCCAAGAAAGUGGCGGGUUGCUUGAAAUGCAGGUGCAGCUGAACUUUUCUCUGAGCUAUAAGCAUAUCUAUUUAGUCUGCCUAAAAAACAGAUUAUUACCUUUGCUGCAGCUAACAUAAAGGAGACUAGUUCUUGUGCUGACUGAUGCAGGGUUCACAGAGACAGCUUCGGCCGACUUUGUAAACUCGAUCUCAAAUCAAGUAAGACUACCCGCUGAACUUAAGCAUAUCAAUAAGCGGAGGA